CAGGCCUAACACAUGCAAGUCGAGCGGACAGAUGGGAGCUUGCUCCCUGAUGUUAGCGGCGGACGGGUGAGUAACACGUGGGUAACCUGCCUGUAAGACUGGGAUAACUCCGGGAAACCGGGGCUAAUACCGGAUGGUUGUUUGAACCGCAUGGUUCAAACAUAAAAGGUGGCUUCGGCUACCACUUACAGAUGGACCCGCGGCGCAUUAGCUAGUUGGUGAGGUAACGGCUCACCAAGGCAACGAUGCGUAGCCGACCUGAGAGGGUGAUCGGCCACACUGGGACUGAGACACGGCCCAGACUCCUACGGGAGGCAGCAGUAGGGAAUCUUCCGCAAUGGACGAAAGUCUGACGGAGCAACGCCGCGUGAGUGAUGAAGGUUUUCGGAUCGUAAAGCUCUGUUGUUAGGGAAGAACA
RNAcentral lists this ribosomal RNA (418 nucleotides) under Bacillus sp. Lgg10.11. Its description in RNAcentral is "bacterial SSU rRNA". It matches the Rfam family "Bacterial small subunit ribosomal RNA", at positions 43 to 451 of the family's 1533-position model. The record is from RNAcentral. Lineage: Bacteria; Bacillati; Bacillota; Bacilli; Caryophanales; Bacillaceae. RNAcentral also lists the same sequence under 1 other name.